Molecule: ribosomal RNA, 301 nt
Filed under: uncultured bacterium
Lineage: Bacteria
Description: partial 16S ribosomal RNA
Rfam family: Bacterial small subunit ribosomal RNA
Source: RNAcentral
CAGUAGCCGCGGGAAAACGUAGGGUGCAAGCGUUAAUCGGAAUUACUGGGCGUAAAGCGUGCGCAGGCGGUUUGUUAAGACAGAUGUGAAAUCCCCGGGCUCAACCUGGGAACUGCAUUUGUGACUGGCAAGCUAGAGUAUGGCAGAGGGGGGUGGAAUUCCGCGUGUAGCAGUGAAAUGCGUAGAUAUUCGGAGGAACACCGAUGGCGAAGGCAGCCCCCUGGGCCAAUACUGACGCUCAUGCACGAAAGCGUGGGGAGCAAACAGGAUUAGAUACCCCCGUAGUCCCUGUCUCUUAUAA